This 253-nucleotide ribosomal RNA is filed under the name uncultured bacterium. Its description in RNAcentral is "partial 16S ribosomal RNA". It matches the Rfam family "Bacterial small subunit ribosomal RNA", at positions 524 to 776 of the family's 1533-position model. The record is from RNAcentral.
UACGUAGGGUGCAAGCGUUAUCCGGAAUUAUUGGGCGUAAAGAGCUCGUAGGCGGUUUGUCGCGUCUGCUGUGAAAACUGGGGGCUCAACCCCCAGCCUGCAGUGGGUACGGGCAGACUAGAGUGCGGUAGGGGAGAUUGGAAUUCCUGGUGUAGCGGUGGAAUGCGCAGAUAUCAGGAGGAACGCCGAUGGCGAAGGCAGAUCUCUGGGCCGUAACUGACGCUGAGGAGCGAAAGCAUGGGGAGCGAACAGG